RNAcentral lists this transfer RNA (75 nucleotides) under Chloroflexota bacterium. Its description in RNAcentral is "Chloroflexi bacterium tRNA-Met". It matches the Rfam family "tRNA". Rfam says of the family: Transfer RNA (tRNA) molecules are approximately 80 nucleotides in length. Their secondary structure includes four short double-helical elements and three loops (D, anti-codon, and T loops). The record is from RNAcentral. Lineage: Bacteria; Bacillati; Chloroflexota. RNAcentral also lists the same sequence under 2 other names.
GGCGACGUAGCUCAGCGGCAGAGCGGGCGCUUCAUAAGCGCUAGGCCACUGGUUCGAACCCAGUCGUCGCCACCA